AUUUUUCCAUAACCUUAUGGAGAAAAAGGACUUUGAAGCAUGGCUUGAUAACAUUUCUAUUACAUUUCUUUCUCUGACGGACUUGCAGAAAAAUGAAACUCUGGAUCACCUGAUUAGCUUGAGUGGAGCAGUCCAGCUCAGGCACCUCUCCAAUAAUCUAGAGAUUCUCCUCAAGAGGGACUUCCUCAAACUUCUUCCAUUGGAACUUAGUUUUUAUCUGUUAAAAUGGCUUGAUCCACAGACCUUACUCACAUGUUGCCUCGUCUCUAAGCAGUGGAAUAAGGUUAUAAGUGCCUGUACAGAGGUGUGGCAGACUGCAUGUAAGAAUUUGGGUUGGCAAAUAGAUGACUCUGUUCAGGAUCCUCUACAUUGGAAGAAGGUUUACCUAAAGGCUAUUUUAAGGAUGAAGCAACUGAAGGACCACGAAGCCUUUGAGACAUCUUCUUUAAUUGGACACAGUGCCAGAGUAUAUGCACUUUACUAUAAGGAUGGACUUCUGUGUACAGGAUCAGAUGACUUGUCUGCGAAACUGUGGGAUGUAAGCACAGGUCAGUGCAUAUAUGGUAUCCAGACACACACUUGUGCUGCAGUGAAGUUUGAUGAACAAAAGCUUGUAACAGGAUCUUUUGAUAACACAGUAGCCUGUUGGGAAUGGAGCUCUGGGGCAAAGACACAGCAUUUUAGAGGACAUACUGGUGCAGUUUUUAGUGUGGAUUACAAUGAUGAACUUGAUAUUCUGGUCAGUGGCUCUGCAGACUUCACUGUGAAAGUAUGGGCCUUAUCAACAGGAACGUGCCUGAAUACCCUUACUGGACACACAGAAUGGGUCACUAAGGUAGUUUUGCAGAAGUGCAAAGUCAAAUCUCUUAUGCAUAGUCCUGGGGAUUAUAUUCUUCUAAGUGCAGAUAAGUACGAAAUCAAGAUUUGGCCUAUUGGAAGGGAAAUAAACUGCAAGUGCUUAAAAACACUGUCUGUUUCUGAAGAUCGCAGCAUCUCCCUACAGCCCAGACUGCACUUUGAUGGUAAAUACAUAGUGUGCAGUUCAGCACUAGGAUUAUACCAGUGGGACUUUGCCAGCUAUGAUAUUCUCAGGGUUAUCAAACCUCCUGACUUCUCAAAUGUGUCCUUGCUGGGCUUUGGAGAGAUAUUUGCUCUACUGUUUGAUAGCAGAUACCUGUAUAUAAUGGACUUGAGGACAGAAAAACUGAUAAGCCGCUGGCCUCUACCAGAGUAUAGAAAGUCAAAGAGAGGUUCAAGCUUUUUGGCUGGUGAAAUGUCUUGGUUAAACGGACUAAAUGGCCAAAAUGAUAUGGGCUUGGUUUUUGCCACCAGUAUGCCAGACCAUAGUAUCCAUUUGGUGUUAUGGAAGGAACAUGGCUGACAAGCUCACAUAUGCAGAAUCUUCAGGAAUAUAUGGACUAUCAGCAGUGUGUCCAUAAAAUGAGACUUUGCAUGAACCAAAGUUGCACACCUAACGGUAUCAUCAUGCAAUGCACAAUCAUUUACUUUUAUUUGGGCAUUUGGGAAUGGGUUGUUUUGGACAUAAUGCAAUACAGCAUGCUAACAGUAUUCACCACAAAAUUUUGUCUGUACUCAUGUUUAAGCAUACCUGUUUGGGCUCUGAAGCAUAGCUUGUAACUUUUAAACCAUUCAAAUCCACCAUCGUCUGAAAUGAAGUAGUGCUUGACCUGACUUCUGACCUAUUUUUUGUUGUUGAAACAGAAGGUGGAGCUACUAUUUUAGAACCGUAGGCUUUUGUACAUGUAACAGCAAAUACUGGUUACAGUGCAUGGCUGCUUAACUCAAAUGAGAAGACAGCAAACCCUUUCUCUCUCCAGUAUCAUUCUCUUCAAAAUGUUUUUUCUUAUGAUAGCUUUAAAUACUUAGCCUUUGAAGUAGAAGAAUCAAAUGAGUCCUUUAACUAGAAUCAGAUGCUAACAAUAAUAAUUUGUUUAAGUUCAGGAACAUGUCAAUAUGAACUCUCCUCAGCGAGAAUGAGCCAACUUUUCAUCUAUUUGAUAGAGCUUGCCAUCGCAAUUAACAUUAGAGAACCUCUGACAGUAUUCAUCAUAUUUGCUGAUGGUAACUCAGAAUGGCUUGAUCAGUAUUUUGUAGUCCAUAUUUCCUAUAGUUUGUGUGAGAACGUAACUUAGUUCACAGGUAGGUAGAAAUAUAAUGAAUGGGAAGAUGAUGUUCAAUCUCUACAGCAAGAGUCACUCUCUUCAAUUAAAUGAUGUCUAGCAGCCAUUCACUUUUUCCAAAAGUUGCAGUUAAUAUAAUCAUGCACUUAAAGUACUUGCUACAUCUAGAUUUGGAAAGCAGGGGCAAGUAACAGUGAGAAGGCCACACCUCGGGGGGGAGAAAUCAGAAGUCUGAAGAAAAGCAUAGGAGUAGAAAAAGGUCUUUUGCUUUUCUCAUCGUAGGAGACCUGAUGUACACAAGUUAACUAUUGAGUAGCAAAUACCUAUCCACAUACUUUUGUGGUAUUUGACAUGUACUUAAAAGCUGUAUCUAUGACAUCACAUGCUUUAGAAAUGCUUUAGGUUGGUUUCCCCUCCUCCCUUACAAUAAAAUUUCCCCUUAAUGUCUA
RNA transcript from Aptenodytes forsteri (emperor penguin), 2590 nucleotides. It is a transcript of the gene named F-box and WD repeat domain containing 2, with no coding region annotated. The record is from RefSeq and is a predicted model, not a curated record. The transcript has 7 exons. Lineage: Eukaryota; Metazoa; Chordata; Aves; Sphenisciformes; Spheniscidae.